GAUGAACGCUAGCGACAGGCCUAACACAUGCAAGUCGAGGGGCAGCGCAGAGCAAGCUUGCUUGCUUUGGCGGCGACCGGCGCACGGGUGCGUAACAGGUGUGCAAUCUGUCCAUAAUCGGGGAAUAGCCCAGCGAAAGUUGGAUUAAUGCUCCAUGUGAGCAGAGGAGGCAUCUCCUUUGUUUGAAACGUAAGGAUUAUGGGUGAGCACGCUUCUGAUUAGGUAGUUGGUGAGGUAACGGCUCACCAAGCUGACGAUCAGUAGGGGUUCUGAGAGGAAGGUCCCCCACAUUGGAACUGAGACACGGUCCAAACUCCUACGGGAGGCAGCAGUGAGGAAUAUUGGUCAAUGGACGGAAGUCUGAACCAGCCAAGUCGCGUGAAGGAUGAAGGUUCUAUGGAUUGUAAACUUCUUUGUCUGAGGGUAAAAAGCGGACGUGUCCGUUCUUGCAAGUAUCAGACGAAUAAGCAUCGGCUAACUCCG
RNAcentral lists this ribosomal RNA (483 nucleotides) under uncultured bacterium. Its description in RNAcentral is "bacterial SSU rRNA". It matches the Rfam family "Bacterial small subunit ribosomal RNA", at positions 28 to 505 of the family's 1533-position model. The record is from RNAcentral.